UACGUAGGGGGCUAGCGUUGUCCGGAAUCAUUGGGCGUAAAGCGCGUGUAGGCGGUCCGGUAAGUCCGCUGUGAAAGUCGGGGGCUCAACCCUCGGAUGCCGGUGGAUACUGUCGGGCUUGAGUACGGAAGAGGCGAGUGGAAUUCCUGGUGUAGCGGUGAAAUGCGUAGAUAUCUGGAAGAACACCCGUGGCUAAGGCGGCUCUCUAGUACGGUACUGACGCUGAGACGCGAAAGCGUGGGGAGCGAACAGG
RNAcentral lists this ribosomal RNA (253 nucleotides) under uncultured bacterium. Its description in RNAcentral is "partial 16S ribosomal RNA". It matches the Rfam family "Bacterial small subunit ribosomal RNA", at positions 524 to 776 of the family's 1533-position model. The record is from RNAcentral.